UAGUACAUAUAUAUGUCGGGUUUACAUUAGAAUUAGGGUUAGGGGCGUAAAGCGAAUCUUCGUUUGGAUUACACGUCGUCGUUAUGCAAUAGAGAAGACAUUGGCUAGUGCAAAUACGAUUACCAUAGAACCGGACAAGUAACCGUGGUUAUUAGAUACUCGAGAGACUAAUGACAAUGAUCCUAGGUUCAAUAACGAAUCCGCGGACAACGGGACGGUAGUCGUACGCACUCGCAAAAAAUCUAAGUCGGAUUCUGUGUUAAUAUUCGCUGACCGUAAGGAGUUAAUCCUUUUUUUGUCGAUGAGACUGCAAGAGAGAAUGACUUUCCGUCCCGGUGAUACCCCAGAGGAAAACUAUGACGGGGUGUGUCUAAGGACACGAGAUCAUCGGAUUCGUCGGGGACAUCCUACGUUCGGAAAGUAAGGGAAAUUGACGUUGCUGCUAAUUGGCCAAUCUCCAUAUCGGUAGUUAGAAAAGGAUGCUAGUCGCCCUUGAGAGACGGUUGCUAGUGGGAGACGUCGUUCGUGGAAAAAUAGGUCUCUCCUGUCUUCCCAUGCCUUCGUUCGGAAAGUGAGGGAAAUUGACGUUGCUGUUAAUUGGUCAAUUUCCAUAUUGGUGGUUAGAGGAGGAUGCUAGCCGCCCUUGAGGGAAAGUUGCUAGCGGGAAGCGUCGUUCGUGAGAAAAGUAGAUUUCCCCUAUCCUCUUGUAGUUGGUACAAUGACUGUUUGUCUGUUUGAAGGACUUUAGUUAAUUAAAUCUUGAGAUUUAUAACGGGUCCUCAGCCUAGCUGAACAUGUACUGUGGAGAUGCGUCGACGUCUGUUAAUCAUCUUACCCGAAGAAUAGGACUUGUGUCCUUGUGUCUGUGGGACAGAAAUCGUUGGAAUGUUUACUGUCGCGUGCCGCUACAACUAUUUCUUUUAAGGAGAGCUAUAGAAUUACUCCACACCUCUGUUAGGUAAAAACGUUCAUCCCUUGACCGCGGCUACGUUCGGUGACUGGUUGUCGCCUCGAGCCCAAGCUCACUAUCAUAAAUCUGGAACAAAUACAAUCGGAUUGAAUGGCGGCAAUCGCUUAAUUACGGCUAUGGUAGAAUCUAGAUUAAAGUGUUAAGGGACUUUCCCAAAAUCCCAAAGGAGAGGCUCCGGUGUCCUUUCAUCUCUGAUAUAUAUAUAUAUGCUCAGAUUUCAGAGCUUAGUUUUAGGAGUAAUGUAAUAUCGUAAGGUAGUUCGAAUUAGAAAUCAGUUGAAAAUAGAUAAAACCGAGUACGUCGUCUUUCUGUGGUUCGUUUACAUUUAAGAGUGCCUGCGUGACUAAAGGCACGUAGUUGGUAGUUCUUACAUAGGUAUGAGGAAAACAAUAGACAACGUUAGAAGAAGGACGGUUUCGCUAUCCAAGGCGGGAGGACCGAAAGAUCAGAGUGUGCGAGUCGAAAAGUGUGCGUGUUGCGAGAAUCAGAGCUAAUUGAGUCGUCCAAGAGUAGAGUCGUUAGAGGUAAUCGAGUCGUCGAAGAGUAGAGUCGUGAGAAUUGAUAGAGUUGUUAGAGAGAGAGUGUGUGUGUGUGUUAGAUUCGUUGUGACGAGGGUGGUCAAAUAAUUGUAAAGUUAUUUGAUAUAGAUACGAGUAUUGCAUUUAGUUUCCGUUAAAUAAACAUCGUUUUCUGUCCAAUUUAUAUUUGUAUAUUCAAUUUAAUAUUAAUAAAUUGUAAGUAA
This is a long non-coding RNA of Bombus huntii, 1712 nucleotides long. RefSeq lists it as uncharacterized. The transcript has 2 exons. The record is from RefSeq and is a predicted model, not a curated record. NCBI's taxonomy places the organism in Eukaryota, Metazoa, Arthropoda, Insecta, Hymenoptera, Apidae.